AACCACAACAACCACCCCAACAUCAACAACUACCACAUUAAUUACAACAACCACCCCUACACCAAAUACAACAACCACACAAACUACAACUACAAUUCCAUCAACAACUACACCACUAACCACAACAACCAUCCCAACAUCAACAACUACCACAUUAACAACAACCCCUACACUAAAUACAACAACAACAGAAACUACAACCACAAUUCCAUCAACAACUACAACAACACCAGAUACAACCACUGCACUAUCCCCAUUGAUCACACUAACAACAACAACAACCCCUCUACCAAAUACAACAACCACACAAACUACAACCACAAUUCCAUCAACAACUACACCAGUAACCACAACAACCAUCCCAACAUCAACAACUACCACAUUAAUUACAACAACCACCCUUCACCAACUAAGAACAGCCGUACCUACAACAACAACUACACCACAAACUACAACCAUCGUCCCUUCACAAACUCCGACUGUUCUCCCUACAACUACACUAUCAAGUACAUCACAUAUUUCUACAUCUGAAGACACAACUGAAUCCCCAACACCUGUAACUGGAGUCUCAAAACAAGGUGUUGUAGCUAUGAGAAUCCAGAUUUCCUCUGCGUCUCCUCUGUCUGAGGACUUCAUCAGGAGUACCAUCAUACAACAGAUUAAAGAUGAGCUGGUGAGAAAGGGGCUGCCAUCAGACAUAACUCUACGCCUCGUCAGAAGUGUUCAACUUGGACUCACAAACCCAGCAACCCCUGUCAAUUAAACCUGAAUAUUUGUAGGUGCCACUCAAAUGUAAAACCUUAAGGUCAGCCUCUUUUGAGCAAACACCACUUCAUAAUCUUUUAUUCCUAACUUCACCUGAAGAUGAAAUUAAUACUCCGAAUUUGACAAUCUGAAUUAAGGACUAUCUACUUUCACCAAAGGAAAUCGAAUUAAUUACAGAUAUUAAAAUCCUUCGCAGCAAAAUCUGGGUGAAUGCAAACCAUAGCUGUGAAAAAUGUAGUGUGUUUACUGAUGUAUAUUUUAUUAUAUUUCCAUAUUUGAAGUGUAUUAUAGUUUUAUGAGUGAAAGCAGUAUAUUUCUAUUACACUGUAUAUGCAAAAACCCAAUAGGGACAGUAUUUUAUCUACUCUAAGUAUUGCAUUUUCCCUCAAUCAAAUAAAACAUAUUCAAAUUCAAUAUUCUAGAUUAUGUAUAUGAUCAGAGUUUAAUGAUUUAAAAUCAAAGUCUUCAGUUUUGUUUAGAGUUUUAUUGCAGAAGGUGGUUGAAGUCAUCACAUUUUUGAUGAAAUAGUUGACUAGUGUUACUCUAAGUUUUGCUGAUAUCGAUUUUAUUCCCAAUGUGUUUUAGGUCCAAAUGCAAAAAUUAGUAACCUCAAUUAAUUUAAACUGAACAAAAAAAAAUCUUACAUAAAUGAAGGUUAUUCCGUUAAAGGGGACCUAUCAUGCAAAAUUCACUUUUUGAUGUAUUUUAUACAUAACUAUGUGUCCCCAGUGUGUCAGGGAACUCAC
This is a long non-coding RNA of Trematomus bernacchii (emerald rockcod), 1511 nucleotides long. RefSeq lists it as uncharacterized. NCBI's taxonomy places the organism in Eukaryota, Metazoa, Chordata, Actinopteri, Perciformes, Nototheniidae. The transcript has 3 exons. The record is from RefSeq and is a predicted model, not a curated record.